Molecule: ribosomal RNA, 841 nt
Filed under: uncultured Acidobacteriota bacterium
Lineage: Bacteria; Pseudomonadati; Acidobacteriota
Description: bacterial SSU rRNA
Rfam family: Bacterial small subunit ribosomal RNA
Source: RNAcentral
CAAGUCGAGCGAGAAAGGGGGGGCAACUCCCUGAGUAAAGCGGCGCACGGGUGAGUAACACGUGGGUAAUCUGCCCUGGAGUGGGGAAUAACACCGGGAAACCGGUGCUAAUACCGCAUACGAUAGCGAGGUCUGCGGACUUUGUUAUGAAAGGAGCAAUUCGCUCUAGGAGGAGCCCGCGGCUGAUUCGCUAGUUGGUGAGGUAACGGCUCACCAAGGCUACGAUCAGUAUCCGGUCUGAGAGGACGGUCGGACACACUGGAACUGAGACACGGUCCAGACUCCUACGGGAGGCAGCAGUGGGGAAUUUUUGGCAAUGGGGGCAACCCUGACCAAGCAACGCCGCGUGGGUGAUGAAGUCUCUUGGGACGUAAAACCCUUUCGACGGGGAAGAAAACCGCAAGGUUUGACGGUACCCGUAGAAGAAGCCCCGGCUAACUCCGUGCCAGCAGCCGCGGUAAUACGGGGGGGGCAAGCGUUGUUCGGAAUUACUGGGCGUAAAGGGCGCGUAGGCGGUCCGCUAAGUUGGAUGUGAAAACUCUGGGCUUAACCCAGAGCCUGCAUUCAAAACUGACGGGCUAGAGUUCUGGAGGGGGUAGCGGAAUUCCUGGUGUAGCGGUGAAAUGCGUAGAUAUCAGGAGGAACACCGGUGGCGAAGGCGGCUACCUGGACAGAAACUGACGCUGAGGCGCGAAAGCUAGGGGAGCAAACAGGAUUAGAUACCCUGGUAGUCCUAGCCCUAAACGAUGGAUACUUGGUGUGACUGGGAUUGAAUCCAGUCGUGCCGAAGCUAACGCAUUAAGUAUCCCGCCUGGGGAGUACGGUCGCAAGGCUGAAACUC